GACGGAAAGCGCCACAGAAAUGAAACCGCCCAUGUCCGCAUGGGUAAGGGUGAAACGGUGGAGUAAGAGCCCACCGGGGGACUGGCAACAGGACCCGCAUGGCAAGCCCCACCAGGAGCAAUGCCGAAUAGGAUCCUUGCGCGGAGCUGAUCGGGCAACCGAUAUCGCCGCAGGGUGGCUUUGGCCCAAAGGAUCGGGUUGGCAGCUAGAGGGCCAUGGGCAACCAUGGUUCAAGAGGAAUGGUCAUCCAAGGGGGCAACCCCUGGACAGAAUCCGGCUUACAGGCCGCCCGCGCGU
This 297-nucleotide RNase P RNA is filed under the name Paracoccaceae bacterium. Its description in RNAcentral is "Rhodobacteraceae bacterium (freshwater metagenome) partial RNase P RNA component class A". It matches the Rfam family "Bacterial RNase P class A", at positions 101 to 367 of the family's 367-position model. Rfam says of the family: Ribonuclease P (RNase P) is a ubiquitous endoribonuclease, found in archaea, bacteria and eukarya as well as chloroplasts and mitochondria. Its best characterised activity is the generation of mature 5'-ends of tRNAs by cleaving the 5'-leader elements of precursor-tRNAs. The record is from RNAcentral. Lineage: Bacteria; Pseudomonadati; Pseudomonadota; Alphaproteobacteria; Rhodobacterales; Paracoccaceae.